Molecule: ribosomal RNA, 253 nt
Filed under: uncultured bacterium
Lineage: Bacteria
Description: partial 16S ribosomal RNA
Rfam family: Bacterial small subunit ribosomal RNA
Source: RNAcentral
GACGAACCGAGCGAGCGUUGUUCGGAAUUACUGGGCGUAAAGCGUGCGUAGACGGUUAUGUAAGUCGGGUGUGAAAGCCCCGGGCUCAACCUGGGAAUGCCAUUCGAGACUGCAUAGCUAGGGUGCGGAAGAGGGAAGCGGAAUUUCCGGUGUAGCGGUGAAAUGCGUAGAUAUCGGAAGGAACACCAGUGGCGAAAGCGGCUUCCUGGUCCAGCACCGACGUUCAGGCACGAAAGCGUGGGGAGCAAACAGG